This 112-nucleotide ribosomal RNA is filed under the name Blastocystis sp. subtype 6. RNAcentral describes it as "partial 18S ribosomal RNA". It matches the Rfam family "Eukaryotic small subunit ribosomal RNA", at positions 1681 to 1801 of the family's 1831-position model. Lineage: Eukaryota; Bigyra; Opalinata; Blastocystidae. The record is from RNAcentral.
CCUACCGAUUGAAUGAUCCGGUGAACACUUUGGAUUUUCGGAUACGUUUGAGUAUCUGGGAGAAGUCGUGUAAAUCUUAUCAUUUAGAGGAAGGUGAAGUCGUAACAAGGUU